AGGGGCUACCAUGCAAGUCGAGCGAGAUCUUCGGAUCUAGCGGCGGACGGGUGAGUAACGCGUGGGAACGUACCCUCUUCUGCGGGAUAGCCACUGGAAACGGUGAGUAAUACCGCAUACGCCCUUCGGGGGAAAGAUUUAUCGGAGGAGGAUCGGCCCGCGUUGGAUUAGGUAGUUGGUGGGGUAAUGGCCUACCAAGCCUACGAUCCAUAGCUGGUUUUAGAGGAUGAUCAGCCACACUGGGACUGAGACACGGCCCAGACUCCUACGGGAGGCAGCAGUGGGGAAUCUUAGACAAUGGGCGCAAGCCUGAUCUAGCCAUGCCGCGUGAGUGACGAAGGCCUUAGGGUCGUAAAGCUCUUUCGCCUGUGAUGAUAAUGACAGUAGCAGGUAAAGAAACCCCGGCUAACUCCGUGCCAGCAGCCGCGGUAAUACGGAGGGGGUUAGCGUUGUUCGGAAUUACUGGGCGUAAAGCGCACGUAGGCGGAUUGGAAAGUAUGGGGUGAAAUCCCAGGGCUCAACCCUGGAACGGCCUCAUAAACUUCCAGUCUGGAGUUCGAGAGAGGUGAGUGGAAUUCCGAGUGUAGAGGUGAAAUUCGUAGAUAUUCGGAGGAACACCAGUGGCGAAGGCGGCUCACUGGCUCGAUACUGACGCUGAGGUGCGAAAGUGUGGGGAGCAAACAGGAUUAGAUACCCUGGUAGUCC
RNAcentral lists this ribosomal RNA (705 nucleotides) under Roseovarius sp. RNAcentral describes it as "bacterial SSU rRNA". It matches the Rfam family "Bacterial small subunit ribosomal RNA", at positions 44 to 796 of the family's 1533-position model. Lineage: Bacteria; Pseudomonadati; Pseudomonadota; Alphaproteobacteria; Rhodobacterales; Roseobacteraceae. The record is from RNAcentral.